ACCACAGUAGCAUGCCAUCUGUUUUAUUUUCCCAUCAGGGCCAGUGACACUAUCGAGGGCAUAGCCAUAGUCGUAAGUAAGCUCCUACGAUAAAGAAAGAAUAAAUGGUCAGCUCCAAUUGAAAUAGAAUCAAGGAAACUAGAGAGUAUUUGAUCUGCUGCUCAAGCACCUUUUGAUUGGUAUUUAGCUCCCAAAUGUCUAGCACUUUCAUUUUGGAUUUCACAAAGGCCAAAACUAGCUAUCACUUUUUUAGGGGAUCAAAAAAAUUCCAAAAGCCAGACUCAAAUUUGAAGCUAUUAUGAGUUUGACUACUUUUACUAAAAAAAACUUAUAAUAACUAUUUAACCAAAAACACUUAUUACUUUAACACUUUCUAACCCAAUAGCAACUGGAAAUUGCAACAGCAAACUGCAGUCAGAAUACCCAAGAGCUGACUGUAACUAUAACACUUAGCUGCAACAGCCAAUCAAAACACCCCAGCAGUGAACAGGUACAAGAAAAUCAUCAUUAAACCAGGAUAGAAUUCUCCUAUCACAUCAAGUGAGACAAACAUGCUCCAAGAUGCCUCUUUAACCUUGAAACAUAAUGCAAAGCGCAAUACAGAAUAGUUUUUUUCACUUGGAACUAUCGCAAGCACAAGAAUGUCAAUUACAGAUCAGGUGUUCAUACAUCACUGUCAAACAAGAUGACAAAUAGCACAGUUACAUUCAAACAUACCCACCCAAGAGCCAACAGACAGGACAUCACAAAGUACUAAACAUAAGAUAUGAGCCCUCAAAUGUAGCCCUACAUUAUGCACUAGACAUCACUGACCACAUUCACAUCUCCUUUCAGACCUAAUGCAUUAUUCAUUUGCCAGUUCAAACAAUAUAUUGUUGAUGCCCUUAAAUGUAAAUGAGAAACACAAUCUAAGCACAAGAGUCUUGCUUGCACAGCAUCAUAUGAACAUAAUGCCAUUAGUUAUAAAUGGUACAUAACAUUAAAUUAAAGAAAUCAAUAUCAAAAUAUCAUGAAAUGAAGAAUUACAGUAAACCAAAAUUUUAAAAUAGACUAUGAGGUCUUGUAAUAGCAUCUAAUGAUGCAGUAGAGAAUCACAAUGAAUGUUAUAUUUUUCAAGUUAAGAGGUUUUGGAAGUUACUGUAUUACCUAGGAAAAACAAAUGUGAUACUGAAGACAUUAAAAUGACUUUUCAAACAGAAAUUAGCCAUUACGAUUUUCUGAACCCAGAAACCCAAAAUAGAGGGUAUUCAUCAGAAUUAUGGCAAGAAAAACAAGUAGAAAAUUAUCUGCUCUAGCGAAGACAUUGAAUGUCAUUAAACAGAGAGCAAAUUAUCUGCUCUAGCAAAGACAUUGAAUGUCAUUAAACAAAUAGAAAAUUAUCUGCUCUAGCAAAGACAUUGAAUGUCAUU
This 1409-nucleotide unclassified non-coding RNA is filed under the name Hevea brasiliensis (rubber tree). Lineage: Eukaryota; Viridiplantae; Streptophyta; Magnoliopsida; Malpighiales; Euphorbiaceae. The record is from RNAcentral.